This is a long non-coding RNA of Pan troglodytes (chimpanzee), 657 nucleotides long. RefSeq lists it as uncharacterized. The record is from RefSeq and is a predicted model, not a curated record. NCBI's taxonomy places the organism in Eukaryota, Metazoa, Chordata, Mammalia, Primates, Hominidae. The transcript has 3 exons.
AAGAGACCUCUCUCUCUGCCAUCUGAGGACACACCAAGAAGACUGCCAUCUACAAGCAAGGAAGAGAGCCCUCACCAGAAACCAAACCAGGCUGGACUUUGAUCUUGAACUUUCCAGAUUCCAGAACUGUGAAGGAGAGACCCCUGCCAUGGGACUCUCCCUGAUAGCCGUCGUGGGCCUGUACUACCUUCUGCGCUGGUAGUGGGAGAGACAGGUGGUGAGCCUCCCUUGAGAUAACUGCUUCAUCAUGGGCUGUGACUCGGGCUUCGGGAAUCUGCUGGCCAGACAGCUGGAUACGCAAAGCUUGAGGGUGCUGGCUAUGUGUCUGAUGGAGAAGGAGGCAGAGCAGCUGAGGGGCCAGACUUCAGACAGGCUGGAGACGGUGACCCUGGACAUCACCAAGACAGAGAAUAUCGCUGCAGCCACCCAGGGAGUGAAGGAGUGCAUGGGGGACAGAGUUUCUGAUUUACUUGGCAACAAACUAAGGCCAAAAAAAGGCCGGGAAAAUGGAAUCCCUUCUGUCUUUGCUCCCGCCUGGCUAGCUUUCUACCCACGUGGAUUACCCCCCUGGCAUGCUCAAACAGCUGAAGAUUCUAAUGCCUCAUAAGUAAAACUGUGUGAUAGUUUUUAAUAAACAAAAACAAAAUCUUUUUAAAA